AACUUUUAUUUGCUAAACAAAACAUUACUUCUUCUAAUAUUUUUCGAUUGUCUCAAGUUUAUAUAUUUAGAUAAAGAGUAACUUUACAAAACACUGUCUAAAAUUUCAGGAAGAAAUCAGAAAAUUAUAAAAAAUUUUGUCAUUCUUGGAACUUGGAAUAUUUUCAUCCGAAUAAUUUCACCAAUAAAUUAUCAGAAUUUCCCACUUUUGUUUUCAUCGCCCCAAAUAUUAAUCACAAGAACUCUUCAAAAUUAUAAGAACUCUAUAUAAAUUUUUUAAAAGAAACCUAAAUCUAUCAACUGUAUUAGACUUCUAAUAACAGAGUGUUUACAGAGGUGCUAAAUAUGGCGCUAGUAUUGUAUAUUAAAUUUUAGCUGUAAUAAGCUUUCAGUGUAUGACAUAUUAUUUUUUUUCUUAAAUAAAUCACAUACACACACAAUCUAACAUGAUCGGAUCGACAACCAUCCAGUCGCAGGAUAUGAUAUAUCUGGUGGUUGCGAAAUUGCAAAUCGACACCGCCGUGUCGUUUCAGCUCGUCUCAGCUUACGUAAUUCUCGAGAGACCGCGUAAAAGCGGGGGUGCGGUAGCGAGCCAUGGGUUCGACACACCCCCUUCGCAGCCGAUCGAUCGCAAAAUGUCUCAGAAUUUCAUCAGGCUUUGGAUUCGCGGUGAUUUGUACUUUUCUUUAGCUCUCUAAUUGGAAUCUCAUCUAGAAAACAUGAUUUUUAAACUUGUUCUCGUCGACAUCAGCAAAAAUAGAAUUCUGAGAAGAAAAGUUCUCAUCAAAAUUUUCAGAGUUAUGUUAUACGUAAACAAGACUCAGUGUAAUAACAACGAUAUUUUUAACGACUUGCUGUAACUUUUGAAUAUUUCAUAAAAAUCCAUAUUAAAACAAAAUAAAAAGCAUUUAUUAUGUCUUCUCAUUUUUCGAAUAAGGAUGUAAUUUUUGUGUAAACUACAGGGGCAAGCAAAAUUAUAAAGUGACGUUCAGAACCGGAAUCCACUGAUUCAGGACAUCGGAAGGCGGUAAAUCCGUCAGCGCUUUACAUAUGCAAAGCAUAUGCAGACGGUUUCAAAUUCGCAUUCGAAACCUGGCAUAAUCUCUUAAUUUUUCUCAAGGCGGUCGCGUUAUCGCAGGUCUUGCGAACAAUGUCGUGAUCUUACGCAACGAGAGGCAAAAAAAGGGAGAAAUUCUCCUAGAAUGGAAUUUAAAAAAUUCACACGGACGCGUGAAAAGUGAAACGCCGAAAGUCCGAGCGCAGAAAUUCAAUAUCGCCGAAGGUCAUUCUGCGGAGUCGUGUCCGUUUUCGAUGCCGAUGUAAGAAGCCUUAGAACACACCGGAGUGCUCUAUCGGCACGUUUUAAUCAGCGACUCGUUGCCAUGAGAAUCAUGAAGCGGUGAAGAAUAGGAAGGAGUGAAGCCGAGGUUCAGCUCGCGAUAAAAUCUUGAAACAAAGUUGGGACAAGUUUUCCUUACAGAAUAUUGAAGUAAAAUGUCCUUUCUUUGUAACUCUGUAUUAAUCCGCGAAUAUAUUUUAAAGGAUCAUUUUCCAUUAGGCAAAAAGAUCAUUUUGUCAUUACAAAAUAUAUUAUUACCAAACUAUACAUAUAAUUAUUCAAAGUAAAGUUUGCAUGUAAGAUUGAUUAGCAUAACAUAUAAAUAUUGCCAUUAAAAUAACAAUUUUAUAAUUUAUAUUGCAUAAUGUAAUGAUAUACAUUAAUCUUAAGUAAGUAAAUUAUAUUUACAGAGAUUAUCUGUAAUGCACGUAUAGCAAAGGAGAAAUAUAAUCUAAAAAACUAAUUUUAUUGAUUAAAAUUAGUUAAACAAACAGAGAAUACGAGUGAACUUUACGUCGGCUAAUCGAAAUUAUAACUCCAACAUUUCUUCUGCUAAAUACGAAUAAAGAAUGUUGUUUAGCACAUAAUUAUUGCUGAUGUCUGUCAGAAAGUAAAUCGCUGUCGUUCGAAUGACGCGGAUAGCACGGUAGUGCAACUGCGAACUGUUCAACGUGUCAUCGUAGAUAACGAAUAACGUAACGAGAAAUGUUAUCGGUCGAAAAAAGUAUAAACUUUUACGACGACAACUUUAACGCGACAUCGACAUCGUACCAUACGUUUGUUCAUUCAUUCACUUGUUCAAUAAAGCGAUCUAAUAUAGUAGUAAACUCUCGUACACGUGGAUGGUCCUCGUAGAUUGUCAGAGUAACUAUUAUUGCGAGCGAUGAUCAAUAUAAUGAACAACAAAAGAUAAGGUAUUAAGUAGCAAAAUCUUAUUAUUUAUUUAAGUGUGACCAGAUCUUGUUUCUUCAUCAUUUUAAAUAAGGAAUGCAAAGCUGCUUAAAGUCGUUAAAGCUAUUAAAAAGCAGUUACGAAUAGAACAAUAAACUUGUUUAAAGGUAUUACUAUCUUUUGGAAAAUCUUUUGUUGAAGUAAAGUUUUCAAAAUUUUGAAAAAAAUUCAUGUAAAAGUGUCUUGUUUAAUAUUUAAAAUCGAAACUUAUUAAUAACAAAGAUGUUUAAAAACAAGAAAUUAAUGUAGUACAUGCAUAUAAUUUGUGUAUAAUUCCUAUGAAUAAUUCAGUCAUCUUUCUUAUUUAGAAUAAUAUAACUCCUACAAAAUUCGCUUCUCGAGAACCAUUGAAUUAUCCGUAUUGGAGUAGAGGAAAUGGUGAAACGCACGAGUAUAUAACACGCGAGGAUCGUGCUCCCGUCACAAACACAUAAUUCAUGUUUUUUCGAUCGCAAAUCAUCGACGAUCUUCAAGAGAGACAGCGGCACGGUCGAUGAUUAAGCUCCGAGAAUUAUUUUUAGGAAUUGCGUCAGUGAGCAGAGCGAAGAUGCACACGGACGUCAGCGGUGAACCAGAAAUCGCGAGUUCCGAUCGCGGUAGAAUCGCGACAAUCAAGGCUACGUUUCGAUUGUUGCGAAAUACCUAAUACUCGUCGGGGAACAAAGCACCUACUCGAAGGAACGAGUGCACCGGAUAUAGAUGUCCUUUUCUUUAUCUCACUCUCCGACUCUGUAACGAUUCGAUUCCGCCACGCCUACGUCGACGACGUUGUCGCCCGAAAAUUGGCGUCUCAUCGACGGACGGUAGAACGAGAUAUCGCAAAAGCAACGAAGAAAAGUUCGUCGAUGGGAGCGCGACACGUUUGGUCAAAUAUCGACGUAAGUCGACUUAUUAGGGAGUAACUGCAAUCGUAGCGUCCAAAAAUGACUGAACUGUUAUCUUCUACCGUAUCGAUUUUCGAGUUUAAUCCGAUAUAAUUAUAAUCUGAACACUUUGUACACACGAUUCGGCAAACUCUUGUCCUGCAAAUUUCUUUUCUUUUAAAAACCACGAACACUGUAAUUCGUUACGUAACUCUGAAGCAAUCUACACAAAUACUUUCUAGAGAAGUUAAAGUACAUGUAAGAGUUAUCGAAGAACUCUUUUAUAUUUGUAAAGUAAUAAAAAUUAACAAGCGUCAUGACCCAACAUGUGUACCGAGUGUUAAAUAAAACAAGUAAUUGGACAAAUGCUGUAUAUGGUGUUUUACAUCGGACAUUAUGCUAAAAAAUUAUCGCGUUUCAAAGUGUACCAUAAAAGUAACAUACUACGUGGAAUACACUUAAUGUUUUUCAUAUUUAUAAUAAAAUGUCUCGUAUUUCCGUGUUAUCCCAAAGGAAUUAUUAAAAUUUUUAUAUCAUCGUGUACCAUUUGGUUGUCGCCCGGCAGACUUAUCGACACCUCGUUAACGUCCGCAAUGAGAAAGACAGGCUGUCUGCGCCGAAAAGGGUACUCGAUAUCCGCGGUGCGAAGUAUCUACGUCACGAGAGAACGAUAUCGAGGUACAAGCGUCUUCGUUCUCGCAGCUAGCUAUCGGAUCGCGCGAUUAUCGAUUUUGCAAUGUUGUGCAGUCGAAGGUAGGCAGGCUGCAGCCGCAGCAGCAGCAGCAGCACGGGAAAAGCGACGACGAAAGAGACGAGGAGAGGGGUGAGGGAGCGGCGGCGCGGACGAGGGUCCUUUUAUAGUGCGUAAGGGGCGAUACUUCUUUUUCCUCUCUUUCUCUCUCCCCCUCCCUCACAUCUCCCUCUCGUGUUCUCAGCCGGCGCGGAAAACACGCGGCGACCACCAUCGCGCGGCGCGAUUCCACAUCAGAGGCAUUUAAAUCGAUCCACCGCCGGAUACGUCGCGAUUCGCCGAGCGUGAACCGCUCUCUCGCCCGGUUUCUCGUGACGCUAAUCGCGACGCCACGUCCACGCGAGUAGAGAGAUAAUGCAGAGACAUAGGAGAAGUUUCUGAGAACGAGUUUUUAAGUAACCCCUUGUAAAGUAUUUGUUUGCGUAAUGUCAAUGCUACCGUUGGACACUACCGAAAAAAACUGGCGAUGACCGCGUGACGGAGUAGCCGUGGAAUUCGACUGGGAGAGCAAAGUUGGAAAUUGGAAGCAAUAAUUAAUGCUAACGGCCGAAAUGUCAGUACUCUUUAAUAUCUGCGUGUCGACAGCCAUCCUUGACAGACGGCCGUGACGAUAGAGCACCGAAAGUACCACGAAUCCGGUGGCUAUCGCCGAUAGCACCAUGUUGAGUAAUCAAACAUCGCAAGGAGGAAAGUGUGAGUGCGUUCGCUCGUCCGUCGGGAUACUGACUCAUCGCCAGUGACGUAUCUAUUAUCUUCUACGCGCUGUAUUGUUCACGUACGUGUUGUUCUUUGUAUGCCCGUUAUAAAGCUAUCAUGUGUGCGUUUCUAUUUUGCACCUAUUUUGCCAUAGCUACGAUCAUUAAAUUAUCCUUCGGUUACUUUCCGCGUGAAUUCGUCUUCAGACUUAUGGCUUCGGUAGACCAGCGCGAUUUCUGUCGCGCGCGACGCGCGAUAUCCAAUGAGCGUACAGAGAUGAGCGGAAAGACGGUCACUUAUUGGACAUCGUGCUAGUGUGCAGCCAGUCUUACGCUGAAAUUCACCAGCGACAAACAGUUAUUCUUUAUUCAUCCGAUAAACGUAAUGCAAAGAGGGUAUCUUAAUUCGUUCAGUAAAUGAAGAAAAAAAAUUGCAUCAACGUGAAUAAUAGAAUGCCCAGGUUAAACUUGACGCAAUUGAAUAUUUGGGUCUCGACAUUUCUCGCAUUUCUCUUAUAAUUCUUCUAUUAAUUGAUAGAUAACGGUAUUCUCGUUUAAGUAAGAUAAUACUCGAUUCGUACUUGCGAGUAUUUCACCGAUUUAUAGUUGGAUGAUUCGACCUGUGCUCUUUUCACGUUUAUCUCGAAUAAUAAUAGCAACUCCUCUCUUUCCCUCCCUUUAAUUUGCUCCUAUCUUAAUAUUACAUAUAUUUCUCCUACUCUCUAAUCCAGUUUCUUCUAAUCGUCUACUUUUUCGUUACUUCUAAAGCAAUUAUAGUCCGCGAAAGAUAUAGAUAAGCGCAGAAAAAACAUUGCAACUCGCAGAUAGACAGCGCGCACUUCUGCGAACACGGAUAAAACGGAGAAUAUUAUGUUUUAUUGCGCGUUUGUUGUAAACUCGAAGAGCUCAGGUCAGCGCGAAUAUCAGAAACUCCACAUAGUGAUCGUAUUCACACUGUUGUAGAACUGUAUCAUCGCUAUUGUUCUGUGUAUAUUUUAUGUAAUUUAAUAUUAAAAAUGUCCCACACAGACCUGAUUAC
This 5637-nucleotide long non-coding RNA is filed under the name Monomorium pharaonis (pharaoh ant). RNAcentral's name for it is "uncharacterized LOC118647862". The record is from RNAcentral. Lineage: Eukaryota; Metazoa; Arthropoda; Insecta; Hymenoptera; Formicidae.